AUGGUAGCUGGUUGUGUAGUGGGGCUAGAUGGUAGAUGGUUGUGUAGUGGGGCUAGAUGGUAGAUGGUUGUGUAGUGUGGCUAGGUGGUAGAUGGUUGUGUAGUGUGGCUAGAUGGUAGAUGGUUGUGUAGUGGGGCUAGAUGGUAGAUGGUUGUGUAGUGGGGCUAGAUGGUAGAUGGUUGUGUAGUGGGGCUAGAUGGUAGAUGGUUGUGUAGUGGGGCUAGAUGGUAGAUGGUUGUGUAGUGGGGCUAGAUGGUAGAUGGUAGAUGGUUGUGUAGUGGGGUUUGAUGGUAGAUGGUUGUGUAGUGGUGCUAGAUGGUAGAUGGUUGUGUAGUGGGGCUAGAUGGUAGAUGGUUGUGUAGUGGGGCUAGAUGGUAGAUGGUAGAUGGUUGUGUAGUGGGGCUAGAUGGUAGAUGGUAGAUGGUUGUGUAGUGGGGUUAGAUGGUAGAUGGUUGUGUAGUGGGGCUAGAUGGUAGAUGGUUGUGUAGUGUGGCUAGAUGGUAGAUGGUUGUGUAGUGGGGCUAGAUGGUAGAUGGUUGUGUAGUGGGGCUAGAUGGUAGCUGGUCGUGUAGUGGGGCUAGAUGGUAGAUGGUUGUGUAGUGGGGCUAGAUGGUAGCUGGUUGUGUAGUGGGGCUAGAUGGUAGCUGGUUGUGUAGUGGGGAUAGAUGGUAGCUGGUUGUGUAGUGUGGCUAGAUGGUAGAUGUUUGUGUAGUGGGGCUAGAUGGGGGCUAGAUGGCAGCUGGUUGUGUAGUGGAGCUAGGUGGUAGAUGGUUGUGUAGUGGGGCUAGAUGGUAGAUGGUUGUGUAGUGGGGCUAGAUGGUAGAUGGUUGUGUAGUGUGGCUAGAUGGUAGCUGGUUGUGUAGUGGGGCUAGAUGGUAGAUGGUUGUGUAGUGGGGCUAGAUGGUAGAUGGUUGUGUAGUGUGGCUAGAUGGUAGCUGGUUGUGUAGUGGGGCUAGAUGGUAGAUGGUUGUGUAGUGGGGCUAGAUGGUAGAUGGUAGAUGGUUGUGUAGUGGGGCUAGAUGGUAGCUGGUUGUGUAGUGAGGCUAGAUGGUAGAUGGUAGAUGGUUGUGUAGUGGGGCUAGAUGGUAGAUGGUUGUGUAGUGGGGUUAGAUGGUAGCUGGUUGUGUAGUGGGGCUAGAUGGGGGGCUAGAUGGUAGCUGGUUGUGUAGUGGGGCUAGAUGGUAGAUGGUUUUGUAGUGGGGCUAGAUGGUAGAUGGUUGUGUAGUGUGGCUAGGUGGUAGAUGGUUGUGUAGUGUGGCUAGAUGGUAGAUGGUAGAUGUUUGUGUAGUGGGGCUAGAUGGUAGAUGGUUGUGUAGUGGGGCUAGAUGGUAGAUUGUUGUGUAGUGGGGCUAGAUGGUAGAUGGUUGUGUAGUGUGGCUAG
Molecule: long non-coding RNA, 1381 nt
Organism: Oncorhynchus tshawytscha (Chinook salmon)
Lineage: Eukaryota; Metazoa; Chordata; Actinopteri; Salmoniformes; Salmonidae
Source: Ensembl